RNAcentral lists this ribosomal RNA (60 nucleotides) under Olea europaea subsp. europaea. RNAcentral describes it as "LSU_rRNA_bacteria". Lineage: Eukaryota; Viridiplantae; Streptophyta; Magnoliopsida; Lamiales; Oleaceae. The record is from RNAcentral.
GAUAACAGACUGAUCUUCCCCAAGAGCUCACAUCGACUGGAAGGUUUGUCACCUCGAUGU